This 231-nucleotide ribosomal RNA is filed under the name Klebsiella pneumoniae. RNAcentral describes it as "partial 16S ribosomal RNA". It matches the Rfam family "Bacterial small subunit ribosomal RNA", at positions 168 to 401 of the family's 1533-position model. Lineage: Bacteria; Pseudomonadati; Pseudomonadota; Gammaproteobacteria; Enterobacterales; Enterobacteriaceae. The record is from RNAcentral.
ACCGCAUAAUGUCGCAAGACCAAAGUGGGGGACCUUCGGGCCUCAUGCCAUCAGAUGUGCCCAGAUGGGAUUAGCUAGUAGGUGGGGUAAUGGCUCACCUAGGCGACGAUCCCUAGCUGGUCUGAGAGGAUGACCAGCCAUACUGGAACUGAGACACGGUCCAGACUCCUACGGGAGGCAGCAGUGGGGAAUAUUGCACAAUGGGCGCAAGCCUGAUGCAGCCAUGCCGCG